CGGAUCCGCGCCGCUGCAGAGUUUGAUCCUGGCUCAGGAUGAACGCUGGCGGCGUGCCUAAUACAUGCAAGUCGAACGGUGAAGUUACUUCGGUAACGGAUCAGUGGCGAACGGGUGAGUAAUAUAUGAACAACCUACCCCUUUGACUGGGAUAACACACUGAAAAGCGUGCUAAUACCGGAUAGGCAAUCGAGAGGCAUCUCUUGAUUAUUAAAGGAGCGUCUGCUCCACAUUGGGAUGGGUUCAUAUCGCAUUAGCUAGUUGGUGAGGUAACGGCCCACCAAGGCUGUGAUGCGCAGCCGAUCUGAGAGGAUGACCGGCCACAUUGGGACUGAGACACGGCCCAGACUCCUACGGGAGGCAGCAGUAGGGAAUUUUCGGCAAUGGGGGAAACCUUGACCGAGCAACGCCGCGUGAACGAUGAAGGUCUUAUGGAUUGUAAAGUUCUGUUACGAGGGAAGAAUACCAUGGAUAGGAAAUGAUCUGUGGCUGACGGUACCUCGCCAGAAAGCCACGGCUAACUACGUGCCAGCAGCCGCGGUAAUACGUAGGUGGCAAGCGUUAUCCGGAAUCAUUGGGCGUAAAGGGUGCGUAGGCGGCUUCUUAAGUUUGUAGUGAAAUCGUAGGGCUCAACUCUAUCUAGCUACAAAAACUGGGAGGCUGGAGUGCGGUAGAGGCUAGUGGAAUUCCUAGUGUAGCGGUAAAAUGCGUAGAUAUUAGGAGGAACACCGGUGGCGAAGGCGACUAGCUGGGCCGUAACUGACGCUGAGGCACGAAAGCGUGGGGAGCAAAUAGGAUUAGAUACCCUAGUAGUCCACGCCGUAAACGAUGAAUACUAAGUGUUGGAGAAAUUCAGUGCUGCAGUUAACGCAAUAAGUAUUCCGCCUGGGGAGUAUGCACGCAAGUGUGAAACUCAAAGGAAUUGACGGGGACCCGCACAAGCGGUGGAUUAUGUGGUUUAAUUCGAUGCAACGCGAAGAACCUUACCAAGUCUUGACAUCCCUGGCAAAACUCUAGAGAUAGAGCGGAGGUUAUCCAGGUGACAGGUGGUGCAUGGUUGUCGUCAGCUCGUGUCGUGAGAUGUUGGGUUAAGUCCCGCAACGAGCGCAACCCUUGUCUUCAGUUACCAGCAUUCAGUUGGGGACUCUGGAGAGACUGCCGGUGACAAACCGGAGGAAGGUGGGGAUGACGUCAAAUCAGCAUGCCCCUUACGACUUGGGCUACACACGUAAUACAAUGGCGCACACAAAGGGAAGCAAUACCGCGAGGUGGAGCAAAUCUCAUAAAUUGCGUCUCAGUUCGGAUUAGAGUCUGCAACUCGACUCUAUGAAGUUGGAAUCGCUAGUAAUCGUGGAUCAGCACGCCACGGUGAAUACGUUCUCGGGUCUUGUACACACCGCCCGUCAAACCAUGAGAGUUGGCAAUGCCCGAAGCCGGUGGCCUAACCGCAAGGAGGGAGCCGUCGAAGGCAGGGCUGAUGAUUGGGGUUAAGUCGUAACAAGGUAACCCGGGCCGGCCGCUCGAGCC
Molecule: ribosomal RNA, 1527 nt
Filed under: uncultured bacterium
Lineage: Bacteria
Description: bacterial SSU rRNA
Rfam family: Bacterial small subunit ribosomal RNA
Source: RNAcentral